AAACCAACAGGGAUUGCCUCAGUAACGGCGAGUGAAGCGGCAAGAGCUCAAAUUUGAAAUCUGGUAGUUUUACUGCCCGAGUUGUAAUUUGAAGAGCUCAACCUUGGUAACCAGCGCUGUCUAUGUUUCUUGGAACAGGACGUCACAGAGGGUGAGAAUCCCGUUUGGUGGUGCUGUUGUUGCCUUGUAGGUUGUGUUCGACGAGUCGAGUUGUUUGGGAAUGCAGCUCUAAGUGGGUGGUAAAUUCCAUCUAAAGCUAAAUAUUGGCGAGAGACCGAUAGCGAACAAGUACAGUGAUGGAAAGAUGAAAAGAACUUUGAAAAGAGAGUGAAAAAGUACGUGAAAUUGUUGAAAGGGAAGGGCAUUAGAUUAGACUUGGCGCUUCAGGCACAUCCUCCUCUUGUAGGGGGUGCACUCCUGUUGUGCUGGGCCAGCAUCGAUUUGUGCGGUGGGAUAAAACUGCUGGGACGUAGCUGCAUUUUUGCAGUGUUAUAACCAGUGGCAAUACCACCAGCGUAGAUCGAGGACUGCGUCUUUUUAGACUAGGAUGCUGGCGUAAUGAUCUAAUGCCGC
Molecule: ribosomal RNA, 573 nt
Filed under: Liangdongia dendrica
Lineage: Eukaryota; Fungi; Ascomycota; Saccharomycetes; Phaffomycetales; Wickerhamomycetaceae
Description: eukaryotic LSU rRNA
Rfam family: Eukaryotic large subunit ribosomal RNA
Source: RNAcentral